This 740-nucleotide ribosomal RNA is filed under the name uncultured bacterium. RNAcentral's name for it is "bacterial SSU rRNA". It matches the Rfam family "Bacterial small subunit ribosomal RNA", at positions 8 to 796 of the family's 1533-position model. The record is from RNAcentral.
AGAGUUUGAUCAUGGCUCAGAGCGAACGCUGGCGGCAGGCCUAACACAUGCAAGUCGAGCGCCCAGCAAUGGGAGCGGCAGACGGGAGAGUAACACGUGGGAACGUACCCUUCAGUUCGGAACAACCCAGGGAAACUUGGGCUAAUACCGAAUACGUCCGUAAGGAGAAAGAUUUAUCGCUGAAGGAUCGGCCCGCGUCUGAUUAGCUAGUUGGUGAGGUAACGGCUCACCAAGGCGACGAUCAGUAGCUGGUCUGAGAGGAUGAUCAGCCUCAUUGGGACUGAGACACGGCCCAAACUCCUACGGGAGGCAGCAGUGGGGAAUAUUGGACAAUGGGCGCAAGCCUGAUCCAGCCAUGCCGCGUGGAUGAUGAAGGCCCUAGGGUUGUAAAGUCCUUUCGACGGGGAAGAUAAUGACGGUACCCGUAGAAGAAGCCCCGGCUAACUUCGUGCCAGCAGCCGCGGUAAUACGAAGGGGGCUAGCGUUGCUCGGAAUCACUGGGCGUAAAGCGCACGUAGGCGGACUCUUAAGUCGGUGGUGAAAUCCUGGAGCUCAACUCCAGAACUGCCUUCGAUACUGAGAGUCUCGAGUCCGGGAGAGGUGAGUGGAACUGCGAGUGUAGAGGUGAAAUUCGUAGAUAUUCGCAAGAACACCAGUGGCGAAGGCGGCUCACUGGCCCGGUACUGACGCUGAGGUGCGAAAGCGUGGGGAGCAAACAGGAUUAGAUACCCUAGUAGUCC